Brassica napus (rape) is the source of this 2261-nucleotide long non-coding RNA. RefSeq lists it as uncharacterized. The transcript is spliced from 2 exons. The record is from RefSeq and is a predicted model, not a curated record. Lineage: Eukaryota; Viridiplantae; Streptophyta; Magnoliopsida; Brassicales; Brassicaceae.
CCACCCCUUAACUUUAAACCCCAAUAUUUGGAUUAGUUAACCCUAGGAGUAUAAAUGUAUAUUUACCUUUUUAAUGAAACAUUUUGGUCAUUUUCCUCUUUGUAGUCUAUUUUUGUGACCAAAAUUUUUUUAGUGCUAUCCUAGGAUAUUUCUUUUUUAGUCUCUUUAUCUUAUUUUGAAAAAGUAAUUUUCAUACCUUUAUUGCAAAUUCUUGAUUCUUAAAUAGAAAAAUGUAACCACUUAUCGAAACAUUCCCAUAGAUCUUAUGGUACAUUUGGAAGGCACGCAAUGAUAAGUUUUUUAAUGGAAAAGAGAUAUCACGAGUGGAUACUCUCCAGGUAGCUUCCAUUGAAGCGGGAUGCUGGAGAAAAGCCAACCUUCUUGAGGAGAGCGAGGAAGAGGAGCCACAGACUGUCCCUUCGUCUAGCUCGACUCUCCUUACGGACCCUCAACGCACGACCUGUCAAAUCGAUGCAUUAUGGACUGAGAAUGGCACGGUUAGUGGUUUAGGGUGGUUUUACAAGGAUCAAAUGGGAGUCGAGAGAUUUGGCCUCCAAGGAUGCCGGAAAAGCCUAUCGCCUCUCCAUGCUGAGAUGGAAGGACUCAUAUGGGCGAUGACAUGUUUGCGAGAUCUACCUUGCACCUUGAUUCAUAUAGAGACGGACUGUUCCGACUUGGUAGACAUGAUUGCAAAUCCUACCGACUGGCCAGCGUUUACCUCCGAGCUAGUCUCCUUUAAACGACUACAGGCCGAAUUCUCAGUUUUUAGCAUUGACCACAUACUCAGAUCCAGGAACUUGCGUGCGGAUUCUCUUGCGAAAGAGGCGAGAAAUAGUGGUGUACUCUUUUCCCAUAUAGAUCAGACUCAGCUGGACAGAGCGUCUCUUCGGAACGACUUAUGCCCGACUACCACUUGAUCUAAGAAGAUGGGCGUCGACAAAAAAAAAAAAAUAUAGAAAACUGUAACAUUCAGAUUGUACCGUGGAUAAAAAAGGAAACUGUAGUUAUUCUUUCUACGAGUUUGGCGUUGACGUCGAUAUCAGUUCAGAAUGAUGACGUGGCCAUGACUUUGAAGACAAUCUUAACAAUCCAGUAAUAAAAUGCCACGUGUUUUUGUCUGCUACAUUAGAUAUCGCCGUGUUACCUUCUUAAUGGCUGGAGAGUAGGACGAGGAGUCACGGACAACGAAAUAAAGAAAAAGGGACAAAACCUGAACAGAUAAAUAAAUAAUUAAGAGCGGCGUGGGUUAGCAAAAUCGUGGUCUCUUAUACUAAAAUGUAUCCAACUCCAAACACGUGGGCUUAACUUUUCGCCGUGUCGACGAUCCGACGGUACGUUCGUGCUUUUUAAAUUAGGUUGCUUUGCUGGUCUCGUGUCAAUAAUCCAAAGACGAUGCCUUUUAGUUUAUAUUUUAAAAUGCUGUCGUUAAAGAAAAUUGUUAAUAUCUCCGUUUCAUUUUAGUUAUCGUUUUAGAUUUAUGCACACAGAUUAAGAAAACAUAUAAUUUUAUAUAUUUCCAAAAUAAAAACACAAUUACCUAUACAACUAACCAUAUUUCAACUAAUAGAAAAAUAAAUUGAAGAAUCUAAUUAAUAAAUUUUGCAUUGAAACUUUAAAACGACAUUUAUUUUGAAACGAAAAGUUUUCCUUACGACGACAAUUAAAUCGAAAAGAAGGGAGUAUAAUACUUACUGCUUUGCUUAUAUAAGGAGAGGUUGUACAGUCCAUAGAGAUGCAGAAUUGCAUAUCAAACUCCAUGAGAUAGGGAAAGACGAGAAGGAGAAAGAUUGGUCGUCCAUUGUAUGGCGGCUUGACCACCGUACAUCUGGCUCGACGGUUGGACUUACUCUAAACCAUGGUAAAAGUGAUCUCAGGCUAAAACCAUACGGAGAAAGAGAAGAUCUUUUAGGCAUGGGUGGGAUUUUCGUGAUAAAGGUGGAAUAUUCACAUAUUUAGUUUAUGGUCGGAUUAUAAUAUAAUUAAAUCGGAUGAAAGUUUUGAUCAUGGAUUGCUCUGAAGUCUUAACUAAGUGGGGGAUGGUAUUCCAAUCUUGUAUCAAUGUGUACUUGGGGUUAGUAGUAUAAAGCAUAAAACAUCAAAGUAUUAGAAUAUUCUCCAUCUAUGUCUUGUUCAUCCGGCGUUAGUAAUGCAGAUUUGCUUCUCUAAAUGUGUGUCAAACGGCAAGUCAUUUUUUAUGGCUAUCAUGUAAUGCAGUAUUGAUUAGUUUUCCACUAGUUGUAUCGAUUGCGUUUUUAUGUUUA